GCCCGCACCGCCACCGCGGAACGCCGCGCUUAAAGAGUCAAUACUGAGUUUGAAGUGACUGAAUAAUCAGCCUAUAUGAAUUGUCUGCAUGGAACAACUACAGGCUCACUGAAUAUGAACUGCAUCAUUGGCAUCCCUUGUGUCAGAAGAUAAGAAAGAGGAGAAUAUCAAGGUA
Molecule: long non-coding RNA, 175 nt
Organism: Trichechus manatus latirostris (Florida manatee)
Lineage: Eukaryota; Metazoa; Chordata; Mammalia; Sirenia; Trichechidae
Exons: 3
Source: RefSeq, a predicted model, not a curated record